This 1224-nucleotide ribosomal RNA is filed under the name Triticum aestivum (bread wheat). RNAcentral's name for it is "partial small subunit ribosomal RNA". The record is from RNAcentral. Lineage: Eukaryota; Viridiplantae; Streptophyta; Magnoliopsida; Poales; Poaceae.
AUGGAGGCGCCGACGGGCCUGCACAGGCUGCGGGGCCCGUCGCCCAUCGUGUGGGCCAUGCGCACCCGCGUCGCCCCGCCGCCGCGGCUCGCCGAGCCGAUCCCCCGCCCCGUCUACCCUCCCCCUCCCCCGCCGCGGGCGCCGCUGCCGCCUCCGGCGGAGAAGAGGCGCCGCGGGCGCCCCCGCAAGGUCGCCUGCCUGCCGCCAACGCCGGGGCUCGGGCCGCCGCCGGGGUUCGCGCCCUCGCCGGCUGCGCGGCCGAAUCCGGCGCCGACCGCCCACGGGCAAGGGGACUUGGGCGGGCUCCAGCCGCACGUGCUCACCAUUGCUGCGGGAGAGGAUAUCAUAUCAAGGGUCAUGGCGGUCUCACAGCUGAAUUCGAAGGCCAUCUGCAUUCUUUCAGCUCUUGGGUCUGUUAGGGAAGCAGUUCUACUCCAGCCAUCUGGUGUCAUUCUAAAUCACAAGGGUCCUUUAGAAAUCAUCCGGCUUUCUGGAUCCAUUUUGACAUCUAAUGACCAUCGAUCUCUGCGUAUUACCCUUGCUUCUGUCAAUAGUUUUGUGAUCAGUGGCAUUAUAGCUGGACCUCUCAUAGCUGAAACUCCUGUCCAGGCAAUUCUUGGAAGCUUUCACAACAGUGCAUUCUUGCCAAACAACGCACCUAGGGCAGACAUUGCGUGUUAUCCUAACACGCAAGGUGCCAUCGCAAAUGGCAGCACUCUACCCAGUGAGCGUUCCAAUCCAGUAUAUGCUUCUCGUACUUCCAUGGAACAAAAUGAAUCAAGUGAGGUUGAUGUCAAGCCCUUUGUUGGACUGGUUAAUCUAAAUCCAGAAUAUGCAUCUCGUACUCCCGUGGUACAGCGUGAAUCAUAUCAGGCACUUCUCGGAAGCUUUCACAACAAUUUGUUCUCUCCAAACAACGCACCUAGGGCAGCCAUUCCGUGUUAUCCUAACACGCAAGGUGCCACCGGAAAUGGCAGCACUCUACCCAGUGAUCGCUCCAAGCCACAAUAUGCAUCUCGUACUUCCGUGGAGCAGAACGAAUCAGAUGAGGUUGAUGUCAAGCCCUUUGUUGGAUUGCUGAAUCCAAAUCCAGAAUAUGCAUCUCGUACCCCCGUGGAACGGAACGAAUCAAGCGAGAUUGAUGUCAAGCCCUUUGUCGGACUGGUUAUUCCGAAUCCAGAAUAUGCACCUCAUACCCCUGUGGAACGGAACGAAUCAAGCUAG